This 495-nucleotide ribosomal RNA is filed under the name uncultured bacterium. RNAcentral's name for it is "partial 16S ribosomal RNA". It matches the Rfam family "Bacterial small subunit ribosomal RNA", at positions 28 to 507 of the family's 1533-position model. The record is from RNAcentral.
GACGUACGCUGGCGGCGUGCCUAAUACAUGCAAGUAGAACGCUGAAGGAGGAGCUUGCUCUUCUGGAUGAGUUGCGAACGGGUGAGUAACGCGUAGGUAACCUGCCUGGUAGCGGGGGAUAACUAUUGGAAACGAUAGCUAAUACCGCAUAAGAGUAGAUGUUGCAUGACAUUUGCUUAAAAGGUGCAAUUGCAUCACUACCAGAUGGACCUGCGUUGUAUUAGCUAGUUGGUGGGGUAACGGCUCACCAAGGCGACGAUACAUAGCCGACCUGAGAGGGUGAUCGGCCACACUGGGACUGAGACACGGCCCAGACUCCUACGGGAGGCAGCAGUAGGGAAUCUUCGGCAAUGGACGGAAGUCUGACCGAGCAACGCCGCGUGAGUGAAGAAGGUUUUCGGAUCGUAAAGCUCUGUUGUAAGAGAAGAACGAGUGUGAGAGUGGAAAGUUCACACUGUGACGGUAUCUUACCAGAAAGGGACGGCUAACUACGUG